GAACCUUCUGACUAAUCCUAUUAUCUUGAAAUGUAUAUUAUGGGAAGGGGUCUGGUAAGAUCUUUCUAUUGUUGGUUCUAAUCUUGUUAACUUAAGAUGCAUAUUGUGGGAGUGGGUCUGGUAAAAGUGUAUAAGGCCCUGAUAAGACUAGUGAGGGGGGUGCACUCUCCGCCCCCUUCUGAUGUCUAUGUCAGAAGCCUUC
Cervus elaphus (red deer) is the source of this 202-nucleotide long non-coding RNA. RefSeq lists it as uncharacterized. The record is from RefSeq and is a predicted model, not a curated record. NCBI's taxonomy places the organism in Eukaryota, Metazoa, Chordata, Mammalia, Artiodactyla, Cervidae. The transcript is spliced from 3 exons.